RNAcentral lists this long non-coding RNA (202 nucleotides) under Elaeis guineensis (African oil palm). RNAcentral describes it as "long non-coding RNA (EGUI_LNC017146)". Lineage: Eukaryota; Viridiplantae; Streptophyta; Magnoliopsida; Arecales; Arecaceae. The record is from RNAcentral.
GAUCAUUUAUAUGGUGAUGAUCAUAAAAUUCAAACUGCAUAUAUAUGAACCAUCCAAAACUAUAUAUCUCUUGAUACUCAUUCUUAAAGUUCUUAAGUAAUUAUACUUGUAUUUUUGUAAGAUCUACUUAAUGUGAAUGAUUCAUAUAUAUGUGGUUUGAAUUUUACAAUCAACAUCGUAGCGAUGAUUAAAAUAGUAGUAA